RNAcentral lists this long non-coding RNA (344 nucleotides) under Spirodela polyrhiza (greater duckweed). RNAcentral describes it as "long non-coding RNA (SPOL_LNC001226)". The record is from RNAcentral. Lineage: Eukaryota; Viridiplantae; Streptophyta; Magnoliopsida; Alismatales; Araceae.
GGCGUCCAAGUCGAAGCACCUGCACCGGUGCUGCCACAGCCCAGCAUCGGCCAAUCUCCGGCUUCCACCUCAGAAGCUGCGGCGGCCGCCGUCGCCACGGCUGCUCCGGUCGCAGAGCAGGAAGCCCGGGAAAAGUCACCACAGGCGGCUGGCUCAGGUAAUGAAUUCCCUCUUGUGAGGAAAAGAAAAGCGGAGAGAUGUUCGAUGAGGCCCUCUCAUCUCGAGCUAAAAGAAUGGAUCCGAUCGGGGGCGAACCUGUGGGGCUGUGCUCGUGGUGGUCGAUCGAUCGAUGAACUGUGGGUGCUCUUCCUUGCAGAUCUGCCCAUCGCGAGGAGGGUCUCGCU